Megalops atlanticus (tarpon) is the source of this 78-nucleotide non-coding RNA. Lineage: Eukaryota; Metazoa; Chordata; Actinopteri; Elopiformes; Megalopidae. The record is from the annotation of a GenBank genome assembly.
GGCAGUGUGGCGUAGUGGUAAGGAGCAGGGCUAGUAACCGAGAUGUUGCCAGUUCGAUUCCCUGUUGGGUUGCUGCCA